AGGUGACCGUAUAUUCCUAGCUCCUUUCCAGAACUUACUUCAACAAAAGAUGAAGGAAUUGGUGGUGUUAAGACUUGGGUGGAAGGUGAAGUAUUUGAAGCUUCCAUGUGAAAGGCCUUUGGACUAGAAGUGAAUUACACCACUGGCUUUCCUGGUUCUUCAGCUUGCAGAUGGCAUACUGUGGGACUUCUUGGCCUCCAUA
Cynocephalus volans (Philippine flying lemur) is the source of this 202-nucleotide long non-coding RNA. RefSeq lists it as uncharacterized. Lineage: Eukaryota; Metazoa; Chordata; Mammalia; Dermoptera; Cynocephalidae. The transcript has 3 exons. The record is from RefSeq and is a predicted model, not a curated record.